AGGUACAUUGUAAGAAGUGGGGUUUCGGGUUUCUACUGCUACACGAUAUGCGAGCGCUCUGAUAAUUGCCCUGCUUUCGAUCUUGCUCAAACAAGGAUGGUGUUUAAGCUGCAUCGAGAUAGGUGAAAUUACUCAAUAACCAUCAUUCGAAUUAUAGGUAAUAAAUUUGAUUUUUUUUUAAUAUAAAUAAUUCGAGCAGGUUUCAUUACAUGGCGAUCACAGACGAGAAACAAAGAGUAAUGCCUAUGCCAGACGAUUUAUUACCCGGUAGAGGGAAACAGCUAAUCGUACCUGAAUCCGUUUUGCUCGUAAAUCCUAUUAAUCCAGAUCUUAAAGGAGAGGUACUUUUUAUAUACAUACAUACAUACAUACAUACAUACAUACAUACAUACAUACAUACAUACAUACAUACAUACAUACAUACAUACAUACAUACAUACAUACAUACAUA
RNAcentral lists this long non-coding RNA (451 nucleotides) under Erythranthe guttata (spotted monkey flower). Its description in RNAcentral is "long non-coding RNA (EGUT_LNC001610)". The record is from RNAcentral. Lineage: Eukaryota; Viridiplantae; Streptophyta; Magnoliopsida; Lamiales; Phrymaceae.